CAGCCGCCGCGGUAAUACGGAGGGUGCAAGCGUUAAUCGGAAUUACUGGGCGUAAAGCGCACGCAGGCGGUUUGUUAAGUCAGAUGUGAAAUCCCCGAGCUUAACUUGGGAACUGCAUUUGAAACUGGCAAGCUAGAGUCUUGUAGAGGGGGGUAGAAUUCCAGGUGUAGCGGUGAGAUGCGUAGAGAUCUGGAGGAAUACCGGUGGCGAAGGCGGCCCCCUGGACAAAGACUGACGCUCAGGUGCGAAAGCGUGGGGAGCAAACAGGAUUAGAUACCCCGGUAGUCCCUGUCUCUUAUAC
RNAcentral lists this ribosomal RNA (301 nucleotides) under uncultured bacterium. Its description in RNAcentral is "partial 16S ribosomal RNA". It matches the Rfam family "Bacterial small subunit ribosomal RNA", at positions 509 to 807 of the family's 1533-position model. The record is from RNAcentral.